Non-coding RNA from Actinobacteria bacterium IMCC26207, 99 nucleotides. It matches the Rfam family "Bacterial small signal recognition particle RNA". Rfam says of the family: The signal recognition particle (SRP) is a universally conserved ribonucleoprotein involved in the co-translational targeting of proteins to membranes. Archaeal SRP consists of a 7S RNA and homologues of the eukaryotic SRP19 and SRP54 proteins. In most bacteria, the SRP consists of a 4.5S RNA and the Ffh protein (a homologue of the eukaryotic SRP54 protein). The record is from Rfam. Lineage: Bacteria; Bacillati; Actinomycetota; Actinomycetes.
GGUCGGGCCCUGUGCAAUCGGAGCCCGUGAAUCGGGUCAGGGCCGGAAGGCAGCAGCUCUCAGCGGAACCUGCGGUGUGCCGCAGAUCGCCUGGCCGCC